GACGAACGCUGGCGGCGUGCUUAACACAUGCAAGUCGAACGGAAAGGCCCUGCUUUUGUGGGGUGCUCGAGUGACGAACGGGUGAGUAACACGUGAGUAACCUGCCCUUGACUUUGGGAUAACUUCAGGAAACUGGGGCCAAUACCGGAUAGGAGCUCCUGCUGCAUGGUGGGGGUUGGAAAGUUUCGGCGGUUGGGGAUGGACUCGCGGCUUAUCAGCUUGUUGGUGGGGUAGUGGCUUACCAAGGCUUUGACGGGUAGCCGGCCUGAGAGGGUGACCGGCCACAUUGGGACUGAGAUACGGCCCAGACUCCUACGGGAGGCAGCAGUGGGGAAUAUUGCACAAUGGGCGGAAGCCUGAUGCAGCAACGCCGCGUGCGGGAUGACGGCCUUCGGGUUGUAAACCGCUUUCGCCUGUGACGAAGCGUGAGUGACGGUAAUGGGUAAAGAAGCACCGGCUAACUACGUGCCAGCAGCCGCGGUGAUACGUAGGGUGCGAGCGUUGUCCGGAUUUAUUGGGCGUAAAGGGCUCGUAGGUGGUUGAUCGCGUCGGAAGUGUAAUCUUGGGGCUUAACCCUGAGCGUGCUUUCGAUACGGGUUGACUUGAGGAAGGUAGGGGAGAAUGGAAUUCCUGGUGGAGCGGUGGAAUGCGCAGAUAUCAGGAGGAACACCAGUGGCGAAGGCGGUUCUCUGGGCCUUUCCUGACGCUGAGGAGCGAAAGCGUGGGGAGCGAACAGGCUUAGAUACCCUGGUAGUCCACGCUGUAAACGGUGGGUACUAGGUGUGGGGUCCAUUCCACGGGUUCCGUGCCGUAGCUAACGCUUUAAGUACCCCGCCUGGGGAGUACGGCCGCAAGGCUAAAACUCAAAGGAAUUGACGGGGCCCCGCACAAGCGGCGGAGCAUGCGGAUUAAUUCGAUGCAACGCGUAGAACCUUACCUGGGUUUGACAUGGAUCGGGAGCGCUCAGAGAUGGGUGUGCCUCUUUUGGGGUCGGUUCACAGGUGGUGCAUGGCUGUCGUCAGCUCGUGUCGUGAGAUGUUGGGUUAAGUCCCGCAACGAGCGCAACCCUUGUUCACUGUUGCCAGCACGUUAUGGUGGGGACUCAGUGGAGACCGCCGGGGCCAACUCGGAGGAAGGUGGGGAUGACGUCAAGUCAUCAUGCCCCUUAUGUCCAGGGCUUCACGCAUGCUACAAUGGCUGGUACAGAGAGUGGCGAGCCUGUGAGGGUGAGCGAAUCUCGGAAAGCCGGUCUCAGUUCGGAUUGGGGUCUGCAACUCGACCUCAUGAAGUCGGAGUCGCUAGUAAUCGCAGAUCAGCAACGCUGCGGUGAAUACGUUCCCGGG
Molecule: ribosomal RNA, 1343 nt
Filed under: uncultured bacterium
Lineage: Bacteria
Description: 16S ribosomal RNA
Rfam family: Bacterial small subunit ribosomal RNA
Source: RNAcentral